CCUGUGAACAAAAACAACGAAGCGUUUCAGUCGGCAAUAUUACAAAAUUUUGAUUUGCAAAAUUAUAUCAGACAACAUAGCAGCUCUGUAAGCAACAGCUUAUUGAAAGUGAUAAUAAUUGAGUUUCUCGAAUUUAUUAAAUUAAAAUAGUCAUGAAAAGAUAGAUUCCGUUCUCUUUUGCUACGUUAAACUUUGUAUAUUGAACGCGUUAUAUUGUUUGCGGUAAACAUGCGCAACACCGCCGUGAUUGGACGUCGCGCACGUAUUGAAUAUGAUAUACAACGUGACCUCGUAUGCGCGCAAAUUGAACUAAUCCUUGAUAAUGAACCAUUAUGGCGCGGGGAAACAUCGCUCGUAGCAUCGCUCGGCUUCUCGCGAUAUCGUAGAUGCAGUCGCUUGACCGCGCGAUUAGUAACUUAACCGGGAAUAGACGUGCAUAAUCCCUGAACAUUUAUCGUUUGUUGUGUUAUGCAGCAGAUCGGUUUACGACGAUGCCGCGGAUACAGUCCGCAAAGAUAAUACAGAGGACAUCCGGCAAAUUGUACUACAACUGACAGGUUGUAAAAUAUGAAGAGAACGUAAAUGAGAAUACUGCAGAGAAUGAAAUGGGGAUAAAUGACGCAUGUAAAACACACGUGCAACAUACAGGCUCUAUUCUCGUUGUUCAUUGGCCAUGCCAUCGAUUAAGUUUAUUAUAAAUACUAUUGUAUAAAUUUUCACGUCCAUCACGUAAAUAUAACGACAAAGAAGAAUAACACAAAAAUAUUUCGUAUCUAGGUUGGAAGAAUAAAUUGUGAACCACUCUAUAUAUUUGCUCACGAAAUUCGAUAGAAUAUGAAAUGGAACUAUACACGUAAUCAUAUCGGAAUGCGAUAUAACGAAAUUAAUGAAUAAUUAAAUAAAUCAGCGACGGCUGACUGUAAAUAAUUUAAAUUAAAUUACAUGAAAAA
This is a long non-coding RNA of Monomorium pharaonis (pharaoh ant), 950 nucleotides long. RefSeq lists it as uncharacterized. NCBI's taxonomy places the organism in Eukaryota, Metazoa, Arthropoda, Insecta, Hymenoptera, Formicidae. The record is from RefSeq and is a predicted model, not a curated record. The transcript has 3 exons.